Molecule: long non-coding RNA, 485 nt
Filed under: Pan troglodytes (chimpanzee)
Lineage: Eukaryota; Metazoa; Chordata; Mammalia; Primates; Hominidae
Description: lincRNA
Source: RNAcentral
UGUUCCGGUGUCCUUCCACGCUGUAGUGGCUUAUGUUGUUUUGCUGUUUGGGGUUUGCACUGUCUUUUUGAGCUGUAACACAGCAAAGGUUUGCAGCUUCGCUCCUGAAAUCAUCGAGACCACAAACCCACCGGGAAGAACGAACAACUCCAAACGCACCACUUUAAGAGCUGUAAUACUCGUCGGGAAGGUGUACAGCUUCACUCCUGAGUCAGCGAGACCACGAACCCAUCAGAAGGAAAAAACUCCGAACAUCAGAAGGAACAAGUUUCAGACACGCCACCUUUAAGAACUGUGACACUCACCGCGAGGGUCCGCGGCUUCAUUCUUGAAGUCCGUGAGACCAAGAACCUACCAAUUCCGAAUACGUUGGGUUCAAGUGGUUCUCCUGUCUCAGACUCCCGAGUAGCUGGGAUUACAGGCGCCCACCACGCCCAGGAAAUUGGCAACUGAUGAGGGGAAGUGUAUCAGUCUGUUUUCAUGCU